Molecule: long non-coding RNA, 1273 nt
Organism: Scylla paramamosain (green mud crab)
Lineage: Eukaryota; Metazoa; Arthropoda; Malacostraca; Decapoda; Portunidae
Exons: 3
Source: RefSeq, a predicted model, not a curated record
GCUCGUGCUCCCCAGGGUGUUGAUAUGAAUGAAAUAUCUUUUUCGAGGGGAUAUGUUAGGCUAACACUACAGCCCUUACUGCCGAGGGGUGAGAAGAGGCCCCGCGGGUGGUGCCGGGAAGAACGGUGCAUGGUGCACGGGAGAAGUGGAUCUCGAAAUUUAGGGGGGGAAAGUGCCAGGGUGUGUGACGCAGGAGUCAUUCAAUUCCUCCGCUGAUAGGCAACUGUCGUAUCUUCACAACGCUGAUAAAAUGCAAGAAAACAACAAAUUAACUAAAAUUAAAUAUAUAUAAACUAAAUAAGAUAAACUGUAUGAAGCUAUCACGCCUACGUGGGUCAGUUUCCAAAUGCCAUUCUUAUCUAGAAAUAUUUUCUUUUAAAGCUUGUUAAUGACUACACUAACAACUUGAUUAAUGGGUGUGAGGGAAUCGCCAACCAUGUAAGCACCCCUCUAACUACUGUGGUAAAGGGAGAGGAAUGAUUGUCCUUCCUCCACCUUAAGGGCGGUGUGUCUCGGUCACGGUUUCUCUUCCUUCUCCUGAAUCCUCGAGCAGCUGACUCCUCGUGAGACAGCGUCACCGCUUCGGAGCAAAGCCUCGAGUGCCUUCAUCACCAUUCCCCUCCCUCCUUGGUAGGGAUACUCUGCAGGAGCUGAGAUAGUGAGGCCAGCAGACACAAGGAGGCACACAGCUCUCAUCACUUGCCACCAUUACGCAUUUGUUCAGCUGUUCUUUUCUAUCGCAACGCAACGCAACGCAAGAUGCAGCGUGGUGUGCCCGGGAGGAGGCGCCAACGUGGAGGAAUGUACAUAUGCAACAACCGCAGCCACACUGCAGUACUCUUGGGUUAACCCGACGUCGAGGAGUUAAGAGCAAAGGAGCAGCAUGGUUGGGCAGUGCACCACGCAGGAAAAGAGUCCACACUGAGAUCCCGUCACCACGUCAACCAGAAAUGACUACCUCACGGCAUAUAGAUGGCAGAGCACCUCGAUCGUCACACUUGACCUCAUACACUUGAUCGGAAAAAGAUAAAUAAAUAAAUAAAUACGAAGCAAUUACACCAGUGGACAAGUACUGUAAACAAAAGCAGCACGAAGCAAUGCACUGCAGUUACUCGCAGCCACGUGUUUGGCAAGCACUGACAUUGGUGGAGGCCGUACAUUGCGGUCGUAUGUUCCUUCAUUAAGUUGUAAAAAAUAUAGUCUUAGCACAACCUUCUCUGUGUGUGUGUGUGUGUGUGUGUGUGUGUGUGUGUGUGUGUUGAUUAAGCGAGUC